GACGGGGGGGGCAAGUGUUCUUCGGAAUGACUGGGCGUAAAGGGCACGUAGGCGGUGAAUCGGGUUGAAAGUGAAAAGUCGCCAAAAACUGGCGGAAUGCUCUCGAAACCAAUUCACUUGGGUGAGACAGAGGAGAGUGGAAUUUCGUGUGUAGGGGUGGAAAUCCGCAAAUCUACGAAGGAAGGCCAAAAGCGAAGGCAGCUCUCUGGGUCCCUACCGACGCUGGGGUGCGAAAGCAUGGGGGAGCGAACAGG
Molecule: ribosomal RNA, 254 nt
Filed under: uncultured bacterium
Lineage: Bacteria
Description: partial 16S ribosomal RNA
Rfam family: Bacterial small subunit ribosomal RNA
Source: RNAcentral